UGUACACAUGGUUAGAGCUUGGAGUUGAAGCUGCUGAUUGGCCAGUGAGCUCACAAUUGUAGAUGGUGUGCUACCUCAGUGGCAGGCUUUUCUCUAACACCACGAGGGUCCCUGGUUCGAUGAGUGUGGUUUGCUAGCGAUCCUUGCUGUAACA
Molecule: small nucleolar RNA, 154 nt
Organism: Ochotona princeps (American pika)
Lineage: Eukaryota; Metazoa; Chordata; Mammalia; Lagomorpha; Ochotonidae
Source: Ensembl